This 501-nucleotide ribosomal RNA is filed under the name uncultured bacterium. RNAcentral's name for it is "partial 16S ribosomal RNA". It matches the Rfam family "Bacterial small subunit ribosomal RNA", at positions 30 to 523 of the family's 1533-position model. The record is from RNAcentral.
AUUGAACGCUGGCGGCAGGCUUAACACAUGCAAGUCGAGCGGGGGAAGGUAGCUUGCUACCGGACCUAGCGGCGGACGGGUGAGUAAUGCUUAGGAAUCUGCCUAUUAGUGGGGGACAACAUCUCGAAAGGGAUGCUAAUACCGCAUACGUCCUACGGGAGAAAGCAGGGGAUCUUCGGACCUUGCGCUAAUAGAUGAGCCUAAGUCGGAUUAGCUAGUCGGUGGGGUAAAGGCCUACCAAGGCGACGAUCCGUAGCGGGUCUGAGAGGAUGAUCCGCCACACUGGGACUGAGACACGGCCCAGACUCCUACGGGAGGCAGCAGUGGGGAAUAUUGGACAAUGGGGGGAACCCUGAUCCAGCCAUACCGCGUGUGUGAAGAAGGCCUUAUGGUUGUAAAGCACUUUAAGCGAGGAGGAGGCUACUUUAGUUAAUACCUAGAGAUAGUGGACGUUACUCGCAGAAUAAGCACCGGCUAACUCUGUGCCAGCAGCCGCCGUAA